UGAAAUUUUACGUCGUGAAAAGUGAAGUUUUUGAAAUACUCAAAUACAAAUACUCUGAAAAUGUUGUAACCACUUAUUCCCACUUUCAAGAUUGAACGUAAAAGGGGAGAAAAAUUAGGAACAAGGCUUCCUGCUCUGACAAGUUCGGUACCAGUUCUUUCCGAGGAGGAUCAAAGCAGUACGAGUCUUCAGUGUGUCUUUGUCCUAUGUGGUUUGUGAUUUCGUCGUGUGUGGCUGAAAUAUUGUUUCAAUGCGGCGUUCAUAUCCAAUAUUAGCACAAUUGAUGGCAAUUCUUGCACGAGGCUUGAUGCUUUCCACCAAUACUGAGUUCAGAUAAGAUUUGAUUGAGCGCCACCAAACCGAAUAAAACAUCAUACAGAUGUUUAACUAAUUGUAUGGAAGCAAGAGUUACUUUUCUUGUGUAGUCUCCAAUAUUUACACGUUUGUACAUGUAGACUGUUCAUAUUGGCGUGAAGCAACUUAAGGUGAUUCAGGAACUGUUAAAAAUAUUGAGCAGUUGUAAAUAAAUAUUUAUAGUGCAAGUAUACUUUUCCUGUGUAGUCUCCAAUGUUUACACGUUUGUGGAUGUAGACCGUUCAUAUAAGCGUGUGGCAACUUAACGUGAUUCAGAAACUGUUAAAAGACAUUGAGCAUUUGUGAAUAAAUAUUUGUAUAUCAAGUAUACA
Long non-coding RNA from Pocillopora verrucosa, 686 nucleotides. RefSeq lists it as uncharacterized. The record is from RefSeq and is a predicted model, not a curated record. Lineage: Eukaryota; Metazoa; Cnidaria; Anthozoa; Scleractinia; Pocilloporidae.